GACAGAGGGGGCAAGCGUUGCUCGGAAUCACUGGGCGUAAAGGGCGCGUAGGCGGGAUGGCAAGUCGGUCGUGAAAUCCUUCGGCUCAACCGAAGAACGUCGGCCGAUACUGCCGUUCUUGAGGGAUGCAGAGGAGAUUGGAAUUCCCGGUGUAGCGGUGAAAUGUGUAGAGAUCGGGAGGAACACCGGUGGCGAAGGCAGGUCUCUGGGCUGACACUGACGCUCAUGCACGAAAGCGUGGGGAGCAAACAGG
This 253-nucleotide ribosomal RNA is filed under the name uncultured bacterium. Its description in RNAcentral is "partial 16S ribosomal RNA". It matches the Rfam family "Bacterial small subunit ribosomal RNA", at positions 524 to 776 of the family's 1533-position model. The record is from RNAcentral.